RNAcentral lists this ribosomal RNA (253 nucleotides) under uncultured bacterium. RNAcentral describes it as "partial 16S ribosomal RNA". It matches the Rfam family "Bacterial small subunit ribosomal RNA", at positions 524 to 776 of the family's 1533-position model. The record is from RNAcentral.
UACAGAGGGUGCAAGCGUUAAUCGGAAUUACUGGGCGUAAAGCGUGCGUAGACGGUUACAUAAGUCGGGUGUGAAAACCCAGGGCUCAACCCUGGCAGUGCACACGAUACUGCGAGACUGGGGUACUGAAGAGGAGAGCGGAAUUCUCGGUGUAGAGGUGAAAUUCGUAGAUAUCGGGAGGAACACCAGUGGCGAAGGCGGCUCUCUGGGCAGAUACCGACGCUGAGAUGCGAAAGCGUGGGAAGCAAACAGG